RNAcentral lists this transfer RNA (73 nucleotides) under Chloroflexota bacterium. RNAcentral describes it as "tRNA-Ile". It matches the Rfam family "tRNA". Rfam says of the family: Transfer RNA (tRNA) molecules are approximately 80 nucleotides in length. Lineage: Bacteria; Bacillati; Chloroflexota. The record is from RNAcentral.
GGGCCCGUAGCUCAGCGGUUAGAGCCGCGAACUCAUAAUUCGCUGGUCCCAGGUUCGAAUCCUGGCGGGCCCA